Suricata suricatta (meerkat) is the source of this 355-nucleotide long non-coding RNA. RefSeq lists it as uncharacterized. The record is from RefSeq and is a predicted model, not a curated record. NCBI's taxonomy places the organism in Eukaryota, Metazoa, Chordata, Mammalia, Carnivora, Herpestidae. The transcript is spliced from 4 exons.
GCCUGAUGUUGCCGCACUAGGAUAGGCGGGAGAGAAGGGACACAGGCCACUGCUGCAGCCACUGGAGCCCCAGGAGCCACUUUGCAAUAAGCCUGUCCCCCAGUCCCCUGCCCACCAUCCAGCCUUCUGCUGCACCAUUCCUGAAGGGAACCCCCAGAGCUUCUGUGGCAGAAUCAGAUCAGUGCAUGGAUCUAUAAGCAAGCAUGCGCCAACCUCUGCCCAGGGCACCGCCCAGCUGUCCCCACCGGACCGGACACCACUGGGAGAGCGAGGAGACUCUUCUCACUGUACAGCCCCCCAGUGCUCCCCAGGGUGCCCUGCUAAUGGAACCCCUCUGGCUUGCUAAAUAAACAUA